CCUACGGGUGGCAGCAGUGGGGAAUAUUGCACAAUGGGCGAAAGCCUGAUGCAGCAACGCCGCGUGAAGGAAGACGGUUUUCGGAUUGUAAACUUCUAUCAAUAGGGAAGAUAGUAAUGACGGUACCCAAAUAAGAAGCCCCGGCUAACUACGUGCCAGCAGCCGCGGUAAUACGUAGGGGGGCAGCGUUAUCCGGAAUUACUGGGGGUAAAGGGAGAGGAGGGGGCAAGGUAAGCGAUAUGUGAAAGCCUUAGGCUUAACCAAAGGAUUGCAUAACGAACUAUCUAGCUAGAGUACAGGAGAGGAAAGCGGAAUUCCUAGUGUAGGGGUGAAAUGCGUAGAUAUUAGGAAGAACACCAGUGGCGAAGGCGACUUUCUGGACUGAAACUGACGCUGAGGCUCGAAAGCGUGGGGAGCGAACAGGAUUAGAUACCCCAGUAGUC
RNAcentral lists this ribosomal RNA (443 nucleotides) under uncultured bacterium. Its description in RNAcentral is "partial 16S ribosomal RNA". It matches the Rfam family "Bacterial small subunit ribosomal RNA", at positions 338 to 795 of the family's 1533-position model. The record is from RNAcentral.